This 207-nucleotide ribosomal RNA is filed under the name uncultured bacterium. RNAcentral describes it as "partial 16S ribosomal RNA". It matches the Rfam family "Bacterial small subunit ribosomal RNA", at positions 568 to 774 of the family's 1533-position model. The record is from RNAcentral.
CGCGUAGGCGGCAGGGCAAGUCUGUGGUGGAAUCUCACGGCUUAACCGUGAAAUUGCCAUGGAAACUGCUUUGCUUGAGUCAGUGAGGGGAGGGCGGAAUUCCUGGUGUAGCAGUGAAAUGCGUAGAUAUCAGGAGGAAGGCCGGUGGCGAAGGCGGCCCUCUGGUGCUUGACUGACGCUGAGGCGCGAAAGCGUGGGGAGCAAACA